Molecule: ribosomal RNA, 373 nt
Filed under: uncultured bacterium
Lineage: Bacteria
Description: bacterial SSU rRNA
Rfam family: Bacterial small subunit ribosomal RNA
Source: RNAcentral
GUAGGAGGCAAGCGUUAUCCGGAUUCACUGGGCGUAAAGCGCGUGCAGGUGGCGCGGUAAGUUGGGUGUGAAAUCUCCCGGCUCAACUGGGAGAGGUCAUUCAAUACUACCGUGCUUGAGAGCAGAAGAGGAAGAUGGAAUUCCCGGUGUAGUGGUGAAAUGCGUAGAUAUCGGGAGGAACACCAGUGGCGAAGGCGAUCUUCUGGUCUGUUUCUGACACUCAGACGCGACAGCUAGGGUAGUAAACGGGAUUAGAGACCCCGGUAAUCCUAGCCGUAAACGAUGUGAACUUGGCGUUGGUGGGUUAAACUCCAUCAGUGCCGCAGCAAACGCGAUAAGUUCACCGCCUGGGGACUACGGCCGCAAGGUUAAA